RNAcentral lists this transfer RNA (95 nucleotides) under Chloroflexota bacterium. Its description in RNAcentral is "Chloroflexi bacterium (groundwater metagenome) tRNA-Sec". It matches the Rfam family "Selenocysteine transfer RNA". The record is from RNAcentral. Lineage: Bacteria; Bacillati; Chloroflexota.
GGGGGUGGUUGUCAUCCGGUGAUGGCCCCGGUCUUCAAAACCGUUGGUGGGUCGCUUGCGCGGGCCACGGUGGGUUCGACUCCCAUCCAUCCCCG